CAGCGCCACGAGUGGGAGCCAUGAUUAUUGGGCCUAAAGCGUCCGUAGCCGGUUUGAUAAAUCUUUUGUGAAAUCGUUAGGCUUAACUUAACGACGUGCAGAAGACACUGUCAGACUUGGAACUGGGAGGAGUCAGAGGUAUUCUUGAGGGAGCGGUAAAAUGCUAUAAUCUCAGGAGGACCACCUGUGGCGAAGGCGUCUGACCAGAACAGAUUCGACGGUGAGGGACGAAAGCCAGGGGAGCGAUCCGGAUUAGAGACCCGAGUAGUCC
This 271-nucleotide ribosomal RNA is filed under the name uncultured archaeon. Its description in RNAcentral is "partial 16S ribosomal RNA". It matches the Rfam family "Archaeal small subunit ribosomal RNA", at positions 477 to 747 of the family's 1478-position model. The record is from RNAcentral.